RNAcentral lists this ribosomal RNA (388 nucleotides) under uncultured bacterium. RNAcentral describes it as "bacterial SSU rRNA". It matches the Rfam family "Bacterial small subunit ribosomal RNA", at positions 29 to 423 of the family's 1533-position model. The record is from RNAcentral.
AUUGAACGCUGGCGGCAUGCUUUACACAUGCAAGUCGAACGGUAACAGGCCUUCGGGUGCUGACGAGUGGCGAACGGGUGAGUAAUGCAUCGGAACGUGCCCAAUCGUGGGGGAUAACGUAGCGAAAGUUACGCUAAUACCGCAUAAGCCCUGAGGGGGAAAGUGGGGACCGCAAGGCCUCACGCGAAUGGAGCGGCCGAUGUCAGAUUAGCUAGUUGGUGGGGUAAAGGCCCACCAAGGCGACGAUCUGUAGCGGGUCUGAGAGGAUGAUCCGCCACACUGGGACUGAGACACGGCCCAGACUCCUACGGGAGGCAGCAGUGGGGAAUUUUGGACAAUGGGCGCAAGCCUGAUCCAGCCAUGCCGCGUGCGGGACGAAGGCCUCGGU